Molecule: unclassified non-coding RNA, 3804 nt
Filed under: Leishmania donovani
Lineage: Eukaryota; Euglenozoa; Kinetoplastea; Trypanosomatida; Trypanosomatidae
Description: gene:LdHU3.11.1040(CDS-product:hypothetical_prote in_conserved)
Source: RNAcentral
CAAGUCUUCAUAUCGCUUUUCGUUUCUUUUUGAUGAGUGCACAGACGCCACCACUACCAUCACCAUCAUUAUCAUCAUUCCGCCAUCUCCUGUCCUCGCUCCUCUUUCCUCAGGUGCGCGCGCACAUCAUCAUCUUGUACAGACACGCGCUUGUGUGCCGUGGUACCACGGGGCGCCAAGCCCCGCUGCUAUAUCAUUCUUACACCGGUACACACGGACAUACGUGCAGCGACUGAGUACGCAUUCUCAUCACCACCUUCUACAUUGCGAGGAGGGGAGGGCGGGAAGGCAGCGAUGAACUCAUCAUACUUCCGCCUUGAACGUUCACUUUAAUCGGCGUGAUUCCGUUCCAAUGUGGCGCGUAUAUUGUUUUGCGCCGUACGCUGUACACGGCUGCUUUUACCUGCACUGACGUGGCCGUCCACGUGCUGCUGAACGCCUUCCCGCGUUGGCUGUGGAUUGUGUGUGUGUGUGUGUGUGUGCGGUGGCCACUUCUGGCUCUCUCGGCGCCAGCCUCUUCACGUACGACCCAAGCGAAGAGCGGCGAGUGCGAAUUCUCGGCCCGACUGGAAGCAGCGCAUUGCCACCGCGCGCCUGCAUGCGGGGCCGCUUAGGGGUCACAGAGGCUCAGCUGUCAAACCCUGUGCUGCAUCGCGACAGAGCCUCAAGGCCGCGGUACAACGGUCCGCUGUGCAAUGGCCACGUGCACACUAUCCGUGGCGCGUUUCGGCCGCCCAUCGAUCUUCGCGCGCCGGAGCGCGAGACUGCGCCGUCCUACGACGGCAACCCCACUUGCCUUGACUGGUGGCUGCCGACAGACGCGGAGGCAGCUGACGCGACGGCAGACGGUGAUGCUGCCGCCAUGCGCGUCCGCGCGCUGGUCAUCAUUCUGCCGGGGCUAACGGGGAGCUUGAAAGAGUUCUACGUGCGCCGCAUGGCACGGCGGCUGCUGAGGGCAAACAUGGCCACGUGUGUGCUGAACGCGCGCGGCAUGGCGGACACUCCCCUAGAGAGGUCGCAAAUCUUCAGCGCGCUCUUCACCAAGGACCUGCCCCACAUCAUGCAAGCACACAUGACACGUGAAAAGGUGCAGGAGCGUCUGCUGCGCCGCAUACCAUCGCUGCAGAGCAGCGGCCAUCAUAAAGGCGCCGCGCCGAUCAUCGGCGUCGCCUUCUCGCUUGGUGGGCUGAUCUUGACCAACUACGUAAGUGAGUAGGGCGAGGCAGAGGCGCCAAGCGGUUUCGACGCUGUCUACACUAUCACCUCUUCACACAACGUGAGCGACGGUGCGGCGGCGCUGCGGAUGCCGCUGACCAAGCUCCUCUACGACUCCGCCUUGCAUAAGGGACUUCGCGCCUACUACGAGCGACACAAAAACGUACUGCAGAACGUGCCCGGCAUUGGCAAGAAACUCUUGAUGGGCGGCGACGCACCGCGCAGGACUUUGACGAGCUCAUCACGGGACCGCACUUUGGCUUCCCUGGUGCAGAGGCGUACUACGCCGCCACCAGCAACUUCCGCCGCCUUCGCCACUCCCGCACGCCGCAGGUCUGCGCCGUAGCGGCCAACGUCCCCCAACUGUGGCCCUCCACAACCCGAGCUGCGCUGGCUGCAGAAGCGAAGAAGAACGCGUGAGAGUCGAUUUCGGAACAACAACGAGACAUAUUUGUGCAUAUAUAUAUAUAUAUGUGCGUGCGCGCAGGAUGGUCUCUAGCGAAGGUCUUGGUGGGCUGCUGCGAUGAUGGUGCUCUGGCUAGAUCAUGACGGGAGGAAUGAGGCGGGAGGAUGGAGAGGGCAUAGUUGUAGGGAGUGCAUGGCGCCGACGAUAGAGAGGUGGAGCUUGGGCGCUGCAUACGCAAGGUAGACGUGUGCGUCGACGCUUGCGUCAAGCAUUCUGCGACCUUUGCGUACCCGUGUGAUUCUUUUUUUCUUGUGUGCUCCCUCGCUUUCUCACAGGGAUGCGCGCACCAUUACCGCCUUCUCCUUUUCACUGCGCCUCUCUCUCUGUCUGUGUAUGCGUGUGUCUCGGUCUCCCUCUCAAGCGUUGCCAACCUCACUUUUUCUUUGCCCGUGACUGGCAUAUCUACCUUUUCCUUGAUGGUGUGCUGGUGCCGGUGAUAACAUCUUGUGCUUAGCUCCACCGUCCGUAGCUCUAGCUCUACCUCUACCUCUCUCUCUCUGCGUGUCUGGCUUUGUGCGUGUGAGGGCUGUGAUGGCAUCCGUUGGUCGCCGUGCGUGGGGGGGGUGAUGGUGCGGUUGAUCGCGGAGGUGCAGCGCAACGCGAUAUGCGACCUCGAAUGACUCAUCAGCCCAGGCGCUACUCGCGUCACACGUCCAGGCAUAUCUCACAAAAAUGUACGCGGCUCACCGGCGUCACUUGCAUGCGCAUCCUUCGUCCGCCUCUCCGCUGCAUCCUGCGUUUUACGCCCGUUCCUGUGGCACGGCUUCCUUGAAAGUUUUUUUUUCCGAUAUGCGCCUCUCGCUGGCUUUUGUGCCAGCGGCGUUCUCCACUACCGCCGUCUCCGACGGUACUUGCAUCCGGAUGCGAAGGGGCGAUGCGCUGACCUUUUUUUUUGUUGUUCAGGAGUGUUGUUGUCCCUGAUGACAGUAGGGAGGGGGCACAACACCCCUCAACGCGCGGCAUCUCACAGUCCAUUGCACCCUCAAUGUGUUUGUGAGGAGGCCAGGUACAACCACACUCCUAUCCCUGCCAACACCGACCGACCUCUCGUGGUGACAGGUUCAGGCUCUGGAUGGCGCUGCGUCGGAGAGACCUGCGACCGUGCACAUGGUUUUACUGUCUAUAUGAUGAGCAGUGUGCCCGUGCGACUCGAGCGUGUCCCACCGGGAAUGAUGGGGGAGCUGCUGCGGGGCGAGUGGUGGGCCGUGCUCGAGGCGGGGGCUGUACUCGGAUGACUAAGUCGGCGCCUUGCUGUGACGCGCGUGCCGAGGGCUGCUUCGCGCGACGCGAUGGGGGGGGCGUGUGGCGGGCCAGGAGGGGGGAGGAGGGGGCGUUUGCGUUCGUGUUGAAUGGCAGAGAGACGGAGACGCUCGGACGCAAAGCGUUGCUGCGGCCGUGAAGGCGUGGGUGCCGACAUCAUCACCAGCAGACAUGGUGCGCAUACCCUGCUUGCCAGCUACGGUGGUGGCUCUCCUGAAAGUACGUCAGAUGGCCCUCUCAUGCAGAGGCCCUGUGAAGACCUGCCAUGGGGCUCUUCCAUUGCGUGUGCGCGUCUCAUUGACCCCCGCCGUAUCUCCCUAUCUCCUUGCCGUGCGCAUCCAUAUGCGCGUGCUGCUGCUGCUGCUGCUGUUCAUCGUAGCCCCAAGAAUCGCAUCACCCGCACAUCAUAUCUGCCUUCCCUCCACCCCCCUGAGCACCCCUCUCGUUGUUCUCAACAUGCGACCAACGAGUGGAACCGCCUCACGGCACACGCAUGUGCGCGGCCGAGAAAACCCUGCACUGCGACGAAAGAGGAAGGGCGGUCCGCGUUCCUCCCUCCAGAGGUGCCAGAGACGUAACGCGGGAGAUAGUGUGAAUGAGUGAGUGAGAGGGGCUCGAGGUCUUGCCAAGACGGGGCGCUGCGGAUGUCCUCCGUGGCGGAACAUCGGCAACGGCAUCUUCGUACGGAAGAAAAAAAACGCGCUUGUCGAGUCGCUGUUCCAACACGCCUCUUCCCUACCCCAUCAGGUAGACAUCGGCGAUGCGUCUGCCCGGUUACCGCCACUCUUUCCCCCUCCCCUCGUUCUCUCUCUUGGUCUCUACCUCACCCUUUCUGCUACCGCUAUGCUUCCACUCGCGAGCAG